This is a non-coding RNA of Misgurnus anguillicaudatus (oriental weatherfish), 756 nucleotides long. NCBI's taxonomy places the organism in Eukaryota, Metazoa, Chordata, Actinopteri, Cypriniformes, Cobitidae. The record is from RefSeq and is a predicted model, not a curated record.
GGGUUUAAUUAGGAUUUGUCUGUGCAUGUUUUUACUGUCUGAGAUUUUGUUACUAUUCACAUGCAUACAGACUGAAACGGUUGGAGUUUCUACAUUUGUGUUGUACUGAAGAAACAAAAUCACAUACAUCUUGGAUGGCCUCGGGGUAAGCUGAUAAAUAUAAAAAAAUCAUUUUAAGAUGAAUCCCGUACGUUGGCGGCUGUUUUAAACUGGGUGCUCGGCUCAGACCCUUUUGCCAGUAUGAAGCCGAUUUCAACGGUAACUGCAGAAAGCGUCAGCACGCUCAGCUCAUCACUGGAGUAACGUCUGUACAACGGGUGAGAUAAAACUCAACGCCUGACUAAAUCAUCCAUUCCCUUUUCGAUCCUACGCCAUACGUUAAACUUGAGGUAAUCUUGCUUUUGCUCUUCUAAAAUAAACACUGCUCUUAGCACACCCCACCCUUACAUGGCACUCAAGUAUAUGACACACAACACAGGUCUUCUCAGGAGGCUGUGCCUACAGGUAGGAAUUAUACAAAGUGAUCUCUCUCGGUUUACUCUGACAUAUCUACGUACAAUGUUUUGCUAGUAAUCUGCUAUGCCUGCUUUUUCUUGUGUUCUACAGCAAUAGGCUUUAUGCCCAGCUGCACUACUUCCUGAACUUCAGCCAGCUCCUUGUUUCCUGUCUGCCAUUAUUGGACAAACUGAUUAAUCCAGGUGUGCCUGAGCUUAGUAGUCACAACAACAAUAAUCAGACACACCUGGAUUUAUCAGU